Molecule: ribosomal RNA, 492 nt
Filed under: uncultured bacterium
Lineage: Bacteria
Description: partial 16S ribosomal RNA
Rfam family: Bacterial small subunit ribosomal RNA
Source: RNAcentral
AGUGAACGCUGGCGGUAGGCCUAACACAUGCAAGUCGAACGGCAGCACAGUAAGAGCUUGCUCUUACGGGUGGCGAGUGGCGGACGGGUGAGGAAUACAUCGGAAUCUACUUUUUCGUGGGGGAUAACGUAGGGAAACUUACGCUAAUACCGCAUACGACCUACGGGUGAAAGCAGGGGAUCUUCGGACCUUGCGCGAUUGAAUGAGCCGAUGUCGGAUUAGCUAGUUGGCGGGGUAAAGGCCCACCAAGGCGACGAUCCGUAGCUGGUCUGAGAGGAUGGUCGGCCACACUGGAACUGAGACACGGUCCAGACUCCUACGGGAGGCAGCAGUGGGGAAUAUUGGACAAUGGGCGCGAGCCUGAUCCAGCCAUACCGCGUGGGUGAAGAAGGCCUUCGGGUUGUAAAGCCCUUUUGCUGGGAAAGAAAAGCAGCAGGUUAAUACCCCGCUGUUCUGACGGUACCCAAAGAAUAAGCACCGGCUAACUUCGUG